Molecule: ribosomal RNA, 463 nt
Filed under: uncultured bacterium
Lineage: Bacteria
Description: partial 16S ribosomal RNA
Rfam family: Bacterial small subunit ribosomal RNA
Source: RNAcentral
GAUGAACGCUGACAGAAUGCUUAACACAUGCAAGUCUUUGGCGAAGCUGUGCUUGCACAGCCUAGCCAAGGCGGACGGGUGAGUAACGCGUAAGGAACUUGCCCUGCAGUCAGGGAUAACAGACGGAAACGACUGAUAAGACCUGGUAAAGUCAGGCGGACUCAUGUCCAGCCUGAUGAAAAGAGAUGCUGCAGGAGAGCCUUGCGUCCUAUUAGCUUGUUGGUGGGGUAACGGCCCACCAAGGCGAUGAUAGGUAGCCGGCCUGAGAGGGUGGACGGCCACAAGGGGACUGAGAUACGGCCCUUACUCCUACGGGAGGCAGCAGUGGGGAAUAUUGGACAAGGGGGGCAACUCUGAUCCAGCAAUUCUGUGUGCACGAUGAAGGUUUUCGGAUUGUAAAGUGCUUUCAGCAGGGAAGAAAAAAAUGACGGUACCUGCAGAAGAAGCGACGGCUAAAUACGUG